UUUUUUUUUUUUUUUAAUCUCUCCCGUGCAAAGUGAGGAAGGAGCUGCACCAAGGCAGCCCUCGAGAUCUCGCAAUAAUUGCUCCGAUUUAUCGCUGCUAUUAUUCAUUAAUUAAUUCCCGUUUUUAAGCUCACCCAUCUGAGCGGGCCGCUCUUAAGAGAGAGAGACGUUUCCAUCCGUAUCAGUCAUUUGAUUUUUCGCCCUUUUCGCAAGGGAAAAAAAAGAAAAGCGGAGAGAGGGUGCAGGGCGGCCCGGCGGGGCGGGGGGAGACGCCGGCAAAUCCCGAGCUCCGGCGGUCCCGGCGCGGAGCGGCCGCGGGGGGAGGCGGGACCCAGCGCCGCCCGCCAGGGGGGCGAGCCGCCCCACACAGGUGAUGGGCGUUUCGGCUGCGCUCCGGAUCGACUCCUUGGGUUUCACUUUGGUCUGAUCUAAGCAAAUAUGCAGAAGUACCGGCUGGUCUAGUCCUAAGAGCCAAGAGGAGCGAGCGAGAGCGGCAGAAAGGAGAGCGGCCGCGCUCCCGUUGGAGGGGAACGUACAAACAGCGGCAGCGCCGUAAUUCCAGCACCGCCGCCCCGAGGCAGCCCCGAGCCACCCUGGAUGCGGAGGACCCUCGAAGCCACCCCGCUGCCUUUCCCCUGAGGGAUGGUACUGAAUUUCUGCGCGGCAGGAGCCGGCCUGCAGCUCCUCUCCAUCAGCGUUGCCUUCCCUCCGUAUCUAAAGUGCACUAGACCGCGAUGAGGACCUGGGCUUGCGUUUUGCUGAUAGGUUUUGGCUACCUGUCCUUUACCUCCUGCGAGGAGGCCGAGAUCCCGCAGGAGCUGAUCGAGCGGCUGGCGCACAGCGAGAUCCACAGCAUCCGCGACUUGCAGCGCCUCCUGGAGAUUGACUCCGUAGGAUACGAUGAUGUUUCAGAGACAAACUUGAGGUCUUACAGUGUUCAUUCAGCCAAACAUGUGCAAGAGAACCGUCCUGUGCCCAUUCGCAGAAAAAGAAGCAUUGAGGAAGCCAUCCCGGCUGUCUGCAAAACACGGACGGUGAUAUAUGAGAUACCUCGGAGUCAGAUUGAUCCCACCUCGGCCAACUUCCUGAUAUGGCCGCCGUGCGUGGAGGUGAAGCGCUGCACUGGCUGCUGCAACACCAGCAGUGUGAAAUGCCAGCCCUCACGGAUACAUCACAGAAGUGUCAAGGUGGCAAAAGUGGAAUAUGUUAGAAAAAAGCCAAAAUUAAAAGAAGUUCUGGUGAGAUUAGAAGAGCAUAUGGAAUGCACCUGUACAUCAACAAAUACUAAUUCAGAUUAUAGAGAAGAAGAAACUGAUUAACAGGUAUUUAUUGGGAGUAGUAUGAUAGAAGCAAAGAUUUUCUAAAAUUCAACUUUAAAAGUGCGCAUGUAAACUCAAUCAGAGCAGCAUUUAGAGCUUCUUGCCCCAGAUGUAAGGUGAAAAUAAGCUAGAAAAAAAACUUCUCUCUGGGACAUGGAUGUACAUGGUUUGUUACAUUCCUGAACCUACUAUGUAUGGUGCUUAUUGACUGUAUACUUUAUUUGUUCUCCUGUGUGGAAAAACAAACUGGCUCAAAAGAACACUUAAUGAGAACAAAGAGACAAUGUACAUUUGUUUAAUGUGACAUCAAAGCAAGUAUUGUAGCACUCUGUGAAACAAUAGGAAGCUUCCCUGUCCAAAAAAACAAAAACAAAAAAAAAAAAAAAAGGAAAAAAAAAUAGAGAAAAAAAACAAAACAGAAAAGAAAACAGACAGUUGAAUGAAUGGAUGGAGGAUACCAAAAGUACCCAAAAACAUGACAAAAAUCAGAGUGAAUAGUGGAUUUCUGUCAGAGCAGCCAACGGUGCUUUCCGUCAAGAAAUGUGCCUGCGUUCUUGAUGAAGAUGGAUGGACACUGAUGGACUUCAGGCACAAAAAAAGCAGGAAUGUAUGAAAUGAUCGAAUGCCGCGCCAACACUAUAGAACAAUACAUCCUUGCUUGGUGGUAUUUGAAAAGUCUAUACAAAAAAAGAAAAGAAAACCUUCUGGGGAGCCUUAAGUGGAAUUUUUUUUUUUUUUUUUUUUUUUUUUUUACACACCAUAAAGUGAUUAUUAAGUUUUCUUUUUACUCUUUGCCUAGCUUUUUAUUAUCUCUUGGGCUACAUUUGCCAAUAACACGUGUAAAAGACUGGUAUAACAAUAAGAACACACAACAUUGCGGUAUUUCUCCUAGUGGGAUGCGAACUAAUGAGAUGUAUUAAAAUAAAAGUGGUAUACCUAUGCAUAAUUUUCUAGACGUUUCUUGGUUUAUGUUCCCCAACCUCCCCCGUAAUUUAAAGCAUUACGUAAAAAGAAACAAAGAGGAAAGAAAAGAGAGAUGUGCGUGAACAAAUCAUAGGAUAUCCAUAUGAGAAUCCUUUUUGUUUUUCCUUUAAGACUUACGCCAGUUGCCUACUAGUGAUAUUGUGUUAGCAGUUGUCAUUCUUACCAGUAUACAGAUACUUUUAUUUCACAUGUUGGAGCUGUGUGAAAUGUACCAGUUCUUGUAUCUGCAUUGUACAAUGUCAUGGUGGCAUGGGAACUACCUUGCUGCAAAUAUUUGAACAAAACCUAAAAAUUCUUUAUUUUUGGUAAAAAUGUUAUGCUUUAUGUGUAUUCAACAGAAAUAUGUGUUUUUGUAAAGGUGAAGUUUGUAUUUUUAUCUAAAAAUUAACAGUUUUAUAUACCUGAGAAAGCCUGCUAUGUUUUCUUGAACCAAAAAAAAAAAAAAAAAAAAAAAAAUGAAAAAUUAAAAAAAAAAAAGCAUUUUUGUGGUCAUAUUUUUGUAGUAGAAUAGCCCAAAUAACAUCAAAAUCUAUUUUAACUAUAGCAGGGCAGAUAAAACAGUCUGGCACAAGCUCCUGUAUUUUCAGUGCGCCAAGGGAUUACGUGUUGAGCUCCCCAUGCAUUGCAGUGGGAGCCUCAUGGCUAAAUCCUGCUUUACUGCUUUGGAAAUUCAGGGCUGUGCCAGAUAUGACACGGCUACUCACAGCGCCAAAAUCCCUGCCCCACCCCAGUAGUUUGGAUUAUGUGCCCUUUGUUUUAUUUGGGUUAUCUCAUUGGAUAUGUAAAAUGAACUACUGGAUUCUUUUCUUUGUGUAACAUCGGCAAAGAGAUGAAAGAGUUUUCUCCUCUUAGUUUGGAAUGGGAAAGAGUUUGUCUUGAGACAGCGUUUCCACUCCAAUAAAAAAUGCCUUCAAAGUGGGAGUGAACUGCAGAACCUUAUAACAGCAAAAGAGAGUUUUAACCUUUCCAUUCCUUUACAUAUGGUUCAGCCAUCUCCCCCCAACCCCGUUCCCGUAGCUGUGCCCAGUUUCAGCCAAACAAAGCAAUGUUAGCUAACAGGCACUGUUGGUUUCAGAUGCUAAUGCAGAGAUAGUUAAGUCACCGUUCUAUUUUGUGGUCAUUUUCCCAGUGUAUUUGUUGAGCACCAAAACUGGAAGUACAUUUAACUAAGAUUGUCUGUGCUUGUUUUCCACUAAGUGUACUGUUCACAAUGUUAUGCACAUGAAUGUAUGUGUCUGCGUUUAAAGAAGUGUAUAAAAUGUAAUUUAUAUAUUUAUGUUUCAGUGGGAUGCCAAUAAUGUUGCUCCGUUCCUUUUUAUUUUUCUUUUUUAUUUUUCUUUUUUCUUUUUUCUUUUUUUUUUUCCUAGAAGAUAUCUAAUGAAAAAGAAAUCAUUUAUCCAUUAAAAUCAUGUAGAUGAAAAGCAUUAUGUGACCCACUCAGACACUGCGCAGGUAUGAAAGGAUGUCAAAGUCACUUAAGUGGAAUUAUUUGCAAGAAAAAAAACCACCAAAACCUUUUGGAGUGUCCUAUGGUCACACUGGAUAAGAGGUUGCAUUGAAACCUGUGGGCCAGAUUCCCUGGAGUAACUCUGUUGAGUAUAAUGGAGCUCUGCUGAUUUACACCACCAGUGAGUCUGGCCCGUGUUAAGCUCUCGGGAAGAAAGUAAGCUAAGAAGCAUGCAUUUUGCUGGUGCCAGCAAAUAAGCGUGUUAUGCCAAAUUCAGCAAACCAGGAGAGAAUGAAGGCUGAAUAGAGUCUUUUCCAGUAGUCGUUUGUUUGAGGCUUGUAGUGUCGAGUUAAUUUUGCUACUAGGAACGAAACGCACACGAGCCUUUGCUCUCAAGCACAACGUUUAUGUGGCAUGCAAGCAGAUAACACAAAAAUCUCAGGGCUAUAUUCUCAGCUAGUAUGAAUUGGCAAAUGUUUUUUACUUCAGCCGCCCCUAAGCUAAUUUACAUCAGAUGAGGAUCCAGUCCACAGUUUCAAAGCACAAGGAGCAGUGUCAUGACAUACGUGCCAUUUUGCUGUCGUCCGCCUGAGAUUUUACCCGGAGCCUUGUGAGCAUCGCAGGCUGUGCUGUUGGGCCUUCUGUGAGCUGGCAGAUAACAACCAGAAGGAACAGUGACCGUAAAGGUUGUGACACAGGAGACGUUAAUUCAAAGUUAAGUUGGACAUUUCAAAGGCCAUAUCCUCAGCUGGUGUAAAUCACCGUUGCUCUGUUGCCUGCAAUGUAGCGGUACCAGCUUACACCACUUGAGGGGCUGGUCCCUCAUUCUUGCUCAUCCCUUUCACUCCUCAGUCCUGCAGGGAUCUCGGAUUGUCGUGUACUGUUAAUGUAAUCCUGUGUUCUCUAAUACUUAAGCACAAUAAGUGAAUAUAAGAAUGAGUGUCAGACUUAACUUUGAAUGUCCGAGCUCUGAAAUGGUUUGUUUCACCAUUGUGGCUGUAAAUUAAACAGUUCUCUGUGCAUCUGUGAA
RNA transcript from Coturnix japonica (Japanese quail), 4780 nucleotides. It is a transcript of the gene named platelet derived growth factor subunit A, with no coding region annotated. NCBI's taxonomy places the organism in Eukaryota, Metazoa, Chordata, Aves, Galliformes, Phasianidae. The record is from RefSeq and is a predicted model, not a curated record.